CUCCGAGGGCUCUGAACACCCCGCCCUGGGUAACCCCAGCCUGUCCCAGAUCGAUGCUCUCCUGACGGCUUCCUCCGAGCUAGCUUCUGUCAGCCUUGGGAUUAUUUUGAGAGCCAUGCGCCGGGAAAAGGGACAGGGAACAGAGUCAGGAAAGCUACAAGAGACACUUGACACAGAGAAACUGAAGCCCUGGAGAUGUUACCGCAGGUCACCUGUGGCAUUUCAUAUUGACUGCAUUAAUAGCAUCUGCAAUCAUCUUGGGGUCAACUCUCUGGCCAUGAUGAUGUGAUGUGACCAGUGCCUCACACCCCUGCCACGGUGCCAUCUCCAAAACAGGAGCUUAGGUAGGCCUUCCUCCAUUAAGUUGUGUUGGUCAGGUGUUUUGUUUCAUUAAUGAGAGAAGGAAUUGAUCCAUCACCCGUGAGAGAAUAUCCGAAGGGCGUGUUAAAGCUGGUGCCCAACCCUCUGCUGUCACUCGAGAAAACUGCAGCUCCCA
Molecule: long non-coding RNA, 496 nt
Organism: Apodemus sylvaticus (European woodmouse)
Lineage: Eukaryota; Metazoa; Chordata; Mammalia; Rodentia; Muridae
Exons: 4
Source: RefSeq, a predicted model, not a curated record